This is a long non-coding RNA of Mus musculus (house mouse), 335 nucleotides long. RefSeq annotates it as predicted gene, 40439. The record is from RefSeq and is a predicted model, not a curated record. The transcript has 3 exons. Lineage: Eukaryota; Metazoa; Chordata; Mammalia; Rodentia; Muridae.
GUAUCAUUUCCUUUAAUGAUGCAGGCACACUAUGAGGAGAAGAGCUGGCACUGUGCAUAUUUUGUGCAUGAGAAAACUUAAGCCACAGGAAAGUCAUGCUGACCAAUUGUCGGACACUCUAAUGACCAAGAAAAUUCAGCCCAGAUGCAUAUUCUUGGAGGGAGAGCUGGUCCCUGAAUCAUGAGAGUGAAUGAGCUGUCCCUGCCUCUUACCAGCUGCAGCACUCAGGAGAGAGGGCCCCGCACCUUACCUGGACAGCACAGUAGAGCUGGCUCUUGUGGAGGGGCACAGGAUCUCCAUGACACAGGGCAACAAGAGCAUAACUGGGAAGAGUC